UAAGAAAGGGAAGUAAAAAUGUAACCCGGCUGUAAAGCUUGUGUUUCGAAGCUCAUUUGCUGAAGCAUGAUCACAAGUUGUCUUCAUUGUAGACGUGGUCCGAGAUGUAGGAGAUCAAGGCGCUGAAAAUGCAACAGCAAACCUCAGGCGAGACAUUUCCAGACAGCUCGUCAUGAUGAGUGACAAAUUCAGGAGCAGAAGCCUGACCAGGCGAGGGGGCGCUUGUUUCAAAUGUGAGACGUUUUGGAAAGACGGGGUGAUCUCCGCCUGAAACAGAAAUCCCAACAAAUGAUUCAGCAUGGGCAGGUUCUACUUGGUUACAUCACCUGUUUUUGUUGGAGAACAUGAAGAAAAAUGAUCCAGCUAUGAGCCAAUUACUGCACUCUACACGUUUUUCUCCAAGAUGUUUACUUGUUUGUCAGGAAGAAGAAACAGGAUCUAAUUUGUUUUGUGAAUAAGAAUAAAGGGAUUAGGAAAAAAACGGGAAGAGGAUUAUGAAACACCGGAAAUCCUGUGAACUAAAAGUCAAUAAAGCGUUUUCUUGUUGGUUGGUUCUUCAUCAGUUCAGCAGCUUUUCUGCAGCAUUAAUCUUGUUGAUCUGGAUCAAAGAUGAUGAUCGCUUGCUAAGGUUUCUGUUACC
Molecule: long non-coding RNA, 640 nt
Organism: Fundulus heteroclitus (mummichog)
Lineage: Eukaryota; Metazoa; Chordata; Actinopteri; Cyprinodontiformes; Fundulidae
Exons: 3
Source: RefSeq, a predicted model, not a curated record